RNAcentral lists this ribosomal RNA (254 nucleotides) under uncultured bacterium. RNAcentral's name for it is "partial 16S ribosomal RNA". It matches the Rfam family "Bacterial small subunit ribosomal RNA", at positions 524 to 776 of the family's 1533-position model. The record is from RNAcentral. RNAcentral also lists the same sequence under 1 other name.
UACGUAGGGUCCAAGCGUUAUCCGGAAUUACUGGGCGUAAAGAGUUGCGUAGGUGGCUUUGUAAGUAGAUAGUGAAAGCGUGCGGCUCAACCGCAUAUCCAUUAUCUAAACUGCAUGGCUAGAGGACGAGAGAGGUAGAUGGAAUUCCUGAUGUAGGGGUAAUAUCCGUAGAUAUCAGGAGGAACACCGAUGGCGUAAGCAGUCUACUGGCUCGUUCCUGACACUAAGGCACGAAAGCGUGGGGAGCAAACAGG